RNA transcript from Varanus komodoensis (Komodo dragon), 5759 nucleotides. It is a transcript of the gene named LLP homolog, long-term synaptic facilitation factor, with no coding region annotated. The transcript is spliced from 5 exons. The record is from RefSeq and is a predicted model, not a curated record. Lineage: Eukaryota; Metazoa; Chordata; Lepidosauria; Squamata; Varanidae.
GCUUUGCGCAGCUUCGGAAGAAGAGGCGCUGCGCCGGCGUGUGUCCGGCGAGACGCGGCGUCUGGAGCGCGUGGCCCGGAGCGAGCUCGGGUGAAGAGGGGAGCCGGCGCCGCCCUGCCUUCCUGCCCGGGCAUCCGCCCGGCCUCUGUGCGGUGGCUGAGGCCCAAGGUGGCGGCAGGCAGAUCUUCGCCUCUGUGUUGAAGCCCGUCUUAAGCCAGCCUUCGGGGAUAAGAGCCAAAUCAAAAUGGCAAAAAGCAUAAGAAGCAAAUGGAAGAGAAAGAUGAGAGCAGAGAAGAGGAAGAAAAAUGCCCCCAAGGAGCUUGCCAGAUUGAAGAGCAUCCUGCAAACAAAUACUGAUGUUCUAAUGGAUGAAGUAAAAGAAAUUGCAACUGUCAUAGCUGCUGAGAAAGUUACUGAGAAAAAGGAUCCUGAUGAUGAUACCAAGAUGGACACGGAUGCCAAAAGAAAUAAGAAAACUCUUCUGGAUGAACAUGGACAGUAUCCAGUAUGGAUGAACCCCAGGCAGAGGAAGAAACUUAAGGCAAAGCGUGGCAAAGGAAAAAAUAAGCCCAAAGCACCAAAGGGAUUAGCAUGGUAGAGUCCAAGGGGAAGGCUACAUUGCUGCCUUGCAUAGUGACCAGUUGCAGAACAUUGCAAAGCCUAUUGGAUGAAGGGUCCAGAUAAGCAAAUGGAAGCAGAAGAAAUGGAAGGCUCUAAUUGCUGGGAGACAGAUCACACUUUUUCAGAGAAAGGGAAAAACUGAACAUGGGAAUGGGCCUGCUGAACUUCCUACUUUGCACUCUGUGCUCAAAGGUCUUUCCAGUCUGACUGGGGAGUCAUAGAUGCUAGAGCAGGCAUCCUCUGUGAAAAGGAAGAAGGACAUCCACACAGGAAGGCUGUUAUGUUUCUGAAUGGGUGUACUUUCAUAGAGAUGAAACAUGAUUGAAUACAAUUUGUGAUGAAAGAGGACUGGGUAAAAUCCAUGCAGUUAAUCUCUUGCUACCAGUUAACAUCAACCCCUGCUCCUGAAAUCCUCUGAAAUUUGGUGCUUAUUCUGUAUUAUAUCAAAGGGUCACAAAGAACAGGCCAAGCAGCUUAUUGAACCUAAGCAGCUUAUUGAACAUAAAUGCAAUCUUGAAUAAAAUGCCUGAAACAUCCAGUAUGUUAAAAAUGAAAUACUAAAUUAUAUUAAGCUUUAGUCUCAAUACUGACCCUAAAGUUUUUAAAGGUUGCAGCAGACUUAUGUGCUGAUAAUCUUGUAAGAACUAGAACCCAGUAGACAGAAUUCUGGGUAAUACAGAACAGAGUUAAUACCAAUACAUAGCAGCCAUCUCCAACUUGAAGACCUUUGUACUUCAACUCCCAUCAGUUCUACCAGACAACCUAUGGCCAGGAAUCACAGGAAUUGUUCUCUAAAACAUCUGGAAGGUGGAGAAGCCUGAUAUACAGGUUUAUAUCUGUUUAGUCAUUCUUAUUCUCAAAGUGUUGUACAAAGUGUACAUAUAAAACAUUUAAAAACUUUAACGGAAAUCUGGGAUGUUUUUCUACUUAAGCCACUACGGCCAGAAAUCCUUUGUAGUGCAUAUGUAUUUUUAGCCAGUUCAAAUGAAAUAUUUUGUCAGCAGAUUUCCACAGGGAGGUCAGCAACAGAAACACCUGUCUCAGUUGAACACCUGUGAUGUACGAUUGCCCUCGUGGGUACACUGUACAUCACUACACCAUGUGGAAUGGCUUCUACUGAAGCUGGGAAUAUUCGGCAACACAUCAUAUUUUUCCUCUUAUACUAUUUAAAUCAAGGAAACCAUGCAAACUUAGAGUGGUAUCCACUCUUCAUUAAACAAGAUUUAAAACUGGGAAGUAGACUAAUGCAUUAUUAAGAAACCAUCCUGCUGAAAUGACUGCUAUAUGUGCAUCAUUAAUAUUCUUCAUUGUAUGUAUACCUAGAUUUAAUAACAUCUACCCAUACAUUCUGUUUUUCUCUGAAGAAGAGUUGGGUGAGGCUAGAAACAUUUCCAGAAAUUGCUACUUGGGUUGCUUUAUCACGUUGGCUCUUUCAUGGCACUAUGCUAGGGGAAGCUAGCUGGGACAAACCAGCCUACAGGGGGCAAUCUGUUACUCAUCCACAACCUUGAAAGUGGCUAUUAAUGGCACUGAAAUUCCCCAAAGCAGGGAAGGGUAUCCUCACAGCUGGAUUACUGGAAUGUGCUAUACUGAGGGCUGUCUUUCAAAAUGGUCUAGAAAUGUUAGCCAAAACAGGGGAGCAACACUGUUAAUGGAGACUACUGCUUAUUUUCCCAUAAUGCCUGGCUAACUACUGGUGUUAAACUCUAAAGGCCUCAAUUUCUUGGAACCAGGUUGUGGAAUAUUGCCGCUUCCUGUAUAAACCUGCCUAAUCCCUAAGACCUUCAUCAGAUGUCCUUCUCCAUGUAUCCGUACCUCAUCAGGUGAAGAAGGUGGUCAUUAGGGAAAUUAUUUUUCCUUGGUGGUAUCCUGGUUAUGGAGUACCCUGACCAGAAUUACUUGCUUCCUACCUUUGUUGUAGUCUUUUUGACUCCAGGUGAAGACUUUUUAAUUUUCCCAGAGGUUCUAGUUCUCUGUUUUCAGUGUUUUUAGUCUAUUCAGUGUUUUCUAUAUAUUCUAGAUCUUUGUUACUAAUCAUUUUUUCUCUUGCUGAUUUUUAAGUUCAUUUUAUAUUGACUUCUUAUGGCUCCAUACUGGUUUUUUAGGCUGAUUCUUGUGCUGGUUUUAUUUGUUUUAUGCUGGUUGUAUUGAUACUGUAUUGCUAUUACUUCCAAUUUUUCAUGUCAUUGGGCUGCAUAUUGCAUUUUAUGUAUUUUUAAGUCUGAUCAACUGCCCAGAAAACCUGGUUGAUCAACAGUCUAAAGAUGCCACAAAGUAAAUAAAUUAAGGACAUUUUCAAAGACAAAGCCUAAUCCACUAAUUGACCUGGGAUCUCCUGACCUCUGCAGUCUCAUAACUACUGGAGAAUAAUCGAGAGGUGUAAAUUGACUUGAUCCCUAAGUACACUGCUCACUUCUAGACUAAUCCACUGUCCAAACCAGGUGCUUACUAUCCUUUGCUGAGUGGCAUAAGCCUCGGCUGCUCCUGAAUUAAUGAAAAACAAUGAUGCACUAAACGAGUGCAUCCCUAAAAUGCUCAGUUUAUUAAAACACGGGUAAAAGAUCACUUUGUGAAUGAGGACUGGAUUCUGUGAUGCUCUAUUCCCAGUAACCUUGGAAAUGAAGAGAAAGAAAAUAGGUAACAUCAGUAUAAACUGGUCACUACUGUGUCAAGUGUUAAACGCAGCUUACCCAAAUUUGUAACUAUGUGUUUAAGAAAAACUAGUACCCGAAAACUAUAAGAAAAUGAUGUGAGUUUUGUCAAACAUAAAGUCUUUUGGAAGCAGCUUCUAAACUGACUUGCUGCAUGAAUCUAUCUGACAAUGGCUCCAUUCAGACUAUCUUCCAAACUAUGGUAUGGAAGAUUGGAAAUGUUCUGUAUACCCCCUCCUCCCCUCUGUUUCCUGUUUAGUUCCUACCAUAAUUUGCCAUGACAUCCAAAUCAGCUGAGGGUGCUCCUGGAUCUAUUGGUGUCAUUUGAGACUCAAGUGGCCUCUGGGGCAUAAAGCGUCUUUUACCAGCUUCAGCUGGUAACCCAGCUAUGACCUUAUCUGGAGAUGGAUAGCUUAGUUUCAGUGAUCCAUGCCCUAGUAACCUCCCGUUUGGAUUAAUGUAAUGUCUUGUAUGAAGAAUUGCCUUUGAAGAUGGUCCGGAAAACUUCAGCUAGUACAAAAUAUGGCUGUGAGAGUUCUAACUAGGACCCAAUAUGUGAUCAUAUUCAGUGAUUAAAAAACAAACAAACAAACAAACCCUGAUGGUUUAAGAAGAAUUAAGGAUUGAUGUUGGCUCAAGGUCUGCAAAAUCAGGACGUUGGACAUGCACUGUGAUUAGUGAAGAUGUUGUGCAUUGUCAAAAAAUGUGCUUGCUUACAACUUAUUCUCCAUGCAUCCUUAGUUUUCAUUUGUCUUUCAGGCCCAAAUCCAGAUGAGCAGGAUGAAGUGCCUGGGACUAGCAAAGAUGCCUCAUGUUGUCACAGUCUUGUACUGCUUUAUGAAGCAACUAACAUCAGAGAAAACAAGUAAUCUGAAUUUAAGAAGGUGUGCAGCUUGCUCAACAACCUUGCCUUGGUGGUUUAUAUCUAAAUGUUAUUUUUUCCCAUGAAGAGGAAUUGUUGACUGAGGGUGCCUUUGUGCAUGCACAUUUUUGCCUGACCUGUUUCAUCAUUUGAUGAUUUGUAGCUGGCCAUGCAGACAGGUACCGCCAUUGGAAAAUAAUACAAACAACCCUACACCAUUCCCUGAGUUUUGCCCAGCCUUACUGGUCAGACAAUCACGUGGUUCUCCACGCAACAUGGUUUCCAUGCUCCCUGCCCCAUGCUUGCCAUGUAUCCUGGCAGAGGCACAAGCACAAUCUCCUUCCUUACACACUAUUGCUCCCUAUGGACCUCAGCACCAUCAUCCUGAUUGGUCCAUUGAGAUUUUGGGGUGGUUCUUCCUCCUUCCAAGUGUACCUGCAUUUCUGCAAUGCUUCCUAGCCACUCCAAUGUGCAAAGUAAUUUUUAUUGAAUUGUAUCAAACACCUUUGUCAUGAUUUCCCCCCUUCUCCAUCCAUGCAAGUUUCUGAAACUGAACAGGGAGACAGACAGAUCACCCAGUCAAUAGCAAUAAAGCAGGUGAUAAUGCUAGGGAGAUGAUGUUAGUAGAGAAGCAUUACAUGGGAUUUAACCCGACUGUAUUGGCCUUACAUGCUAAGCAGCCACUUCCAUGGUCACUCUUUCCGUAAGACUCUAGGGUGUCUCCACAGCAACAAAGGUAAAAUGGAGAUCCCGGUUCUGGACAACCAGAGAAACUGUGAUGAAGCAUGGAAACCAUCGAACAAACCACUAAUUAUAUGCACGGUUUCAGGAAACUAAAGGUGCUACAUGGAAAUGCCAUGACUGGGUCCAGACAACACAACAGUUUAGCAAGGGUAAGAAAUCACUAUGGCUACUUGUGAUGUGACAGUGUGGCUUAUGUCAGCAACACGGCUACAUAAUUAACUAGUAGCAUUUUAAUUGCAAUGGAUGAGCCAUGCACACAAACCAUCAUUUCAUGUGGCAGACUAUGGGCACUGAGUGAAUCUAUCCAACCCUGCACAUAUUUGCUUACAUUACAGUACAGUCAGUCUAACUGCCAUGUAAUACUGCGCAGAAUUGAAACCCUAUUUUGUUGCAGAAACGAAUACAAAGAUUGAAGCCAGUUAAUCAGCAGGCAGCCUAAUUUUGGGCCUAUGAUUUUAAUUUAUCACAAAUGGCUCACUGACUAUCAUCUUACUGUGAUGCUGAUUGUCUUCUUCAAUUCUCCCUAGUGGUGUCAAUAAUUAUGGGAACUUGGAGCUAAAUGCACAUGGCCUUCCUAUAGUAAGAGAGGCACCUGGGAGUCUUGCUAGGGAUUUUAGCUAAAUAAUCAUUCCUAGUAAGUUUAAGGGGAAUGCCAAACCAUUUCGGUGUUCAUUGGAGAGUCCAUGGAGAAAGAUUGCACUGCGGCCUUUUAUUUAGGAUGCAAUCCAAUGCAUGUUUAAGUAGAAAAUAAAUUUCUUCCAUUCCCAGCUUUCCUCAGUGAGCCAAUGCUGAAAGGUGUUGGACCUUUUUCUGCCUAUACAUGCAUAGGAUUGCAUCCUUAAGAUACCAAAAGGACCCAUCGCAUGUACUGCACACUGCCU